RNAcentral lists this ribosomal RNA (420 nucleotides) under bacterium. RNAcentral describes it as "partial 16S ribosomal RNA". It matches the Rfam family "Bacterial small subunit ribosomal RNA", at positions 355 to 776 of the family's 1533-position model. The record is from RNAcentral.
UGGGGGAUAUUGCACAAUGGGCGAAAGCCUGAUGCAGCGACGCCGCGUGGGGGAUGAAGGCUUUCGGGUUGUAAACCUCUUUCGCUAUCGAACAAGGCCCGCUUAGGGUGGGUUGAGGGUAGGUGGAGAAGAAGCGCCGGCUAACUACGUGCCAGUAGCCGCGGUAAUACGUAGGGCGCGAGCGUUGUCCGGAAUUAUUGGGCGUAAAGGGCUUGUAGGCGGCUUGUUGCGCCUGCUGUGAAAACGCGGGGCUUAACUUCGCGCGUGCAGUGGGUACGGGCAGGCUUGAGUGUGGUAGGGGUGACUGGAAUUCCAGGUGUAGCGGUGGAAUGCGCAGAUAUCUGGAGGAAAACCGAUGGCGAAGGCAGGUCACUGGGCCAUUACUGACGCUGAGGAGCGAAAGCAUGGGUAGCGAACAGG